GGCGGCGUGCUUAACACAUGCAAGUCGAACGAUGAACCGGCUUCGGCUGGGGAUUAGUGGCGAACGGGUGAGUAACACGUGGGCAAUCUGCCCUGCACUCUGGGACAAGCCCUGGAAACGGGGUCUAAUACCGGAUAUUACCUGGUGAGGCAUCUUACUGGGUGGAAAGCUCCGGCGGUGCAGGAUGAGCCCGCGGCCUAUCAGCUUGUUGGUGGGGUGAUGGCCUACCAAGGCGACGACGGGUAGCCGGCCUGAGAGGGCGACCGGCCACACUGGGACUGAGACACGGCCCAGACUCCUACGGGAGGCAGCAGUGGGGAAUAUUGCACAAUGGGCGAAAGCCUGAUGCAGCGACGCCGCGUGAGGGAUGACGGCCUUCGGGUUGUAAACCUCUUUCAGCAGGGAAGAAGCGAGAGUGACGGUACCUGCAGAAGAAGCGCCGGCUAACUACGUGCCAGCAGCCGCGGUAAUACGUAGGGCGCGAGCGUUGUCCGGAAUUAUUGGGCGUAAAGAGCUCGUAGGCGGCUUGUCACGUCGGAUGUGAAAGCCCGGGGCUUAACCCCGGGUCUGCAUUCGAUACGGGCAGGCUAGAGUUCGGUAGGGGAGAUCGGAAUUCCUGGUGUAGCGGUGAAAUGCGCAGAUAUCAGGAGGAACACCGGUGGCGAAGGCGGAUCUCUGGGCCGAUACUGACGCUGAGGAGCGAAAGCGUGGGGAGCGAACAGGAUUAGAUACCCUGGUAGUCCACGCCGUAAACGGUGGGCACUAGGUGUGGGCAACAUUCCACGUUGUCCGUGCCGCAGCUAACGCAUUAAGUGCCCCGCCUGGGGAGUACGGCCGC
This 838-nucleotide ribosomal RNA is filed under the name Streptomyces sp. IM-6973. Its description in RNAcentral is "bacterial SSU rRNA". It matches the Rfam family "Bacterial small subunit ribosomal RNA", at positions 38 to 889 of the family's 1533-position model. The record is from RNAcentral. Lineage: Bacteria; Bacillati; Actinomycetota; Actinomycetes; Kitasatosporales; Streptomycetaceae.